UGGCGGACGGGUGAGUAACGCGUGGGUAACGUUACCCUUUGUACUGGGGGACAACAGUUAGAAAUGACUGCUAAUACCGCAUAAGCGCACAGUAUCGCAUGAUACAGUGUGAAAAACUCCGGUGGUACAAGAUGGACCCGCGUCUGAUUAGCUAGUUGGUAAGGUAACGGCUUACCAAGGCGACGAUCAGUAGCCGACCUGAGAGGGUGACCGGCCACAUUGGGACUGAGACACGGCCCAA
This 241-nucleotide ribosomal RNA is filed under the name uncultured bacterium. Its description in RNAcentral is "partial 16S ribosomal RNA". It matches the Rfam family "Bacterial small subunit ribosomal RNA", at positions 96 to 334 of the family's 1533-position model. The record is from RNAcentral.